ACGAACGCUGGCGGCGUGCCUAAUCCAUGCAAGUCGCACGCUUCUUUCCUCCCGAGUGCUUGCACUCAAUUGGAAAGAGGCGUGGCGGACGGGUGAGUAACACGUGGGUAACCUACCCAUCAGAGGGGGAUAACACUUGGAAACAGGUGCUAAUACCGCAUAACAGUUUAUGCCGCAUGGCAUAAGAGUGAAAGGCGCUUUCGGGUGUCGCUGAUGGAUGGACCCGCGGUGCAUUAGCUAGUUGGUGAGGUAACGGCUCACCAAGGCCACGAUGCAUAGCCGACCUGAGAGGGUGAUCGGCCACACUGGGACUGAGACACGGCCCAGACUCCUACGGGAGGCAGCAGUAGGGAAUCUUCGGCAAUGGACGAAAGUCUGACCGAGCAACGCCGCGUGAGUGAAGAAGGUUUUCGGAUCGUAAAACUCUGUUGUUAGAGAAGAACAAGGACGUUAGUAACUGAACGUCCCCUGACGGUAUCUAACCAGAAAGCCACGGCUAACUACGUG
This 507-nucleotide ribosomal RNA is filed under the name uncultured bacterium. RNAcentral's name for it is "partial 16S ribosomal RNA". It matches the Rfam family "Bacterial small subunit ribosomal RNA", at positions 29 to 507 of the family's 1533-position model. The record is from RNAcentral.